UUCCCUCUUUCUUCCUGCCUCCCACAUGCAAGUCGAGCGGAUGAAGGGAGAUUGCUCCUGGAUUCAGCGGAGGACGGGUGAGUAAUGCCUAGGAAUCUGCCUGGUAGUGGGGGAUAACGUCCGGAAACGGGCGCUAAUAACGCAUACGUCCUGAGGGAGAAAGUGGGGGAUCUUCGGACCUCACGCUAUCAGAUGAGCCUAGGUCGGAUUAGCUAGUUGGUGGGGUAAAGGCCUACCAAGGCGACGAUCCGUAGCUGGUCUGAGAGGAUGAUCAGUCACACUGGAACUGAGACACGGUCCAGACUCCUACGGGAGGCAGCAGUGGGGAAUAUUGGACAAUGGGCGAAAGCCUGAUGCAGCCAUGCCGCGUGUGUGAAGAAGGUCUUCGGAUUGUAAAGCACUUUAAGUUGGGAGGAAGGGCAGUAAGUUAAUACCUUGCUGUAUUGACGUUACCAACAGAAUAAGCACCGGCUAACUCCGUG
This 482-nucleotide ribosomal RNA is filed under the name uncultured bacterium. RNAcentral's name for it is "partial 16S ribosomal RNA". It matches the Rfam family "Bacterial small subunit ribosomal RNA", at positions 36 to 507 of the family's 1533-position model. The record is from RNAcentral.